GGAUAUCACCGAAGAGGACUUAGAAAAUGUUGCCAUAACUGUUCGAGAUAAAAUCUAUGAUAAAGUUCUGGGUAACACGUGCCAUCAGUGUCGACAAAAGACCAUCGACACCAAGACAGUGUGUCGGAACCAGGGUUGCUGUGGUGUGCGAGGACAGUUCUGUGGACCAUGCCUGCGGAACCGCUAUGGGGAGGAUGUCAGAUCGGCAUUGCUGGACCCGGUAGGAGCAGUGUUUGCAUUUGUUGUAAAUUGUACUGGUGAAGGAAGCAAGCUGAAGAUGGCCCUCCUGGGUUCUCACCGGGAACUGGGAGCUCCGGAACUCUGGUUUUUCGCUUCCAUUUGUAUCUUAAGUCUCCAGGGAAAAUGAAAAAUAGGGAUUCCUUCUGGAAGGAGAGCAAGCUGACCAGUGAAUAGAAGAAUUUAUGUUAGAUUUUCCAUUGUCAGAGCAAAACUUGCUCACAGUCCUCUAGUUUUGUACAAGUAAUCCCUGUACCUGUCCUUCAGCAAAGUGAUUUCCCUCUGAUUUGUUUUUCCUGGGCCAGGCUGAGAGGGAGGUGGAG
Molecule: small RNA, 560 nt
Filed under: Pongo abelii (Sumatran orangutan)
Lineage: Eukaryota; Metazoa; Chordata; Mammalia; Primates; Hominidae
Description: retained intron
Source: RNAcentral